GCCGAUCGUGUCUAUCAACCGCGCCUUGUUCGCCUGAGCUUAUCAGUCAAAUCUGUCAGUUAUUCACUAGUGUUUUCCAUUCACAAUAAAUCAUCCGACAAUACUUUGAAUCAAUGGCUUACCUAGCAACAUAGCAGACUACUGGAUGUCACUAGCUAGAUCACAGGAGCCACACGAUCUUGGUGAUGCAUAUGCAUGCAUGCGUGCGUGUAUAUAUGCUCGCCUAAUAACUAGUAGCUUUCUAGCUUUGUGGCCAUGAACGAACAACGAACAUCUAGUCAGGUCGUCAUCAAUCUCAAUCAUGCAAAGGAUUCGUCUGGCGGCCGGUUGAUUGAUAUAUAUGAUGCUAACAGUCAGAUCCUGCCUGACUGCCUGUGUCAAGCAGUACGUCAAGCUGCUUGUGGUGGCUAGAAAUGGUCAUCUGGAAC
RNAcentral lists this long non-coding RNA (428 nucleotides) under Sorghum bicolor (sorghum). RNAcentral's name for it is "long non-coding RNA (SBIC_LNC015199)". Lineage: Eukaryota; Viridiplantae; Streptophyta; Magnoliopsida; Poales; Poaceae. The record is from RNAcentral.